GAUGAACGCUGGCGGCGUGCCUAAUACAUGCAAGUCGAGCGAACGGACGAGAAGCUUGCUUCUCUGAUGUUAGCGGCGGACGGGUGAGUAACACGUGGAUAACCUACCUAUAAGACUGGGAUAACUUCGGGAAACCGGAGCUAAUACCGGAUAAUAUUUUGAACCGCAGGGUUCAAAAGUGAAAGACGGUCUUGCUGUCACUUAUAGAUGGAUCCGCGCUGCAUUAGCUAGUUGGUAAGGUAACGGCUUACCAAGGCAACGAUGCAUAGCCGACCUGAGAGGGUGGUCGCCCACCGUGGAACUGAGACACGGUCCAGACUCCUACGGGAGGCCGCAGUCGGCAAUCUGCCGCAGAGGGCGAAAGCCUUACGGAGCAACGCCGCGUGAGUGAUGAAGGUCUUCGGAUCGUAAAACUCUGUUAUUAGGGAAGAACAUAUGUGUAAGUAACUGUGCACAUCGUGACGGUACCUAAUCAGAAAGCCACGGCUAACUACGUG
Molecule: ribosomal RNA, 497 nt
Filed under: uncultured bacterium
Lineage: Bacteria
Description: partial 16S ribosomal RNA
Rfam family: Bacterial small subunit ribosomal RNA
Source: RNAcentral